CCUGUCUAACUUAUCGCUGUGUCACAUCCAGGGAUAAACAGAUCCCGAAGACAAAAAGAUGAUAGAAUUUGGCUGCUGCAGAUAAUUAAAAUCUCUGCCUCUACCACAAAGACGGCCUCCAACUUCCUCAUCUAGAGGCAGAAGGAAAAACUAUUGUCUCCACUCAACGAAAAGGAAGCAGGAAGACAGAAGGGCCCCGUGUGUGGACAGUUUUCAUUGGAGCUCAGAACACCUUUCUAGCGGCUUGCCUGGGAGGCUGAUAGACUAGGGCGGAACAUUCCAUCCUCUUGAAAUAUACUGCUGUG
Molecule: long non-coding RNA, 305 nt
Filed under: Equus caballus (horse)
Lineage: Eukaryota; Metazoa; Chordata; Mammalia; Perissodactyla; Equidae
Description: lncRNA (ENSECAG00000047918.1)
Source: RNAcentral